ACGCAGCGAAAUGCGAUAAGUAAUGUGAAUUGCAGAAUUCAGUGAAUCAUCGAAUCUUUGAACGCACAUUGCGCCCUCUGGUAUUCCGGAGGGCAUGCCUGUUCGAGCGUCAUUUCAACCCUCAAGCCUGGCUUGGUGUUGGGGCACUGCUCUCUGA
This 157-nucleotide ribosomal RNA is filed under the name Diaporthe foeniculina. Its description in RNAcentral is "5.8S ribosomal RNA". The stretch from base 1 to 112 matches the Rfam family "5.8S ribosomal RNA", at positions 43 to 154 of the family's 154-position model. From Rfam's summary of the family: 5.8S ribosomal RNA (5.8S rRNA) is a component of the large subunit of the eukaryotic ribosome. Lineage: Eukaryota; Fungi; Ascomycota; Sordariomycetes; Diaporthales; Diaporthaceae. The record is from RNAcentral.